This 254-nucleotide ribosomal RNA is filed under the name uncultured bacterium. RNAcentral's name for it is "partial 16S ribosomal RNA". It matches the Rfam family "Bacterial small subunit ribosomal RNA", at positions 524 to 776 of the family's 1533-position model. The record is from RNAcentral.
UACGGGGGGGGCAAGCGUUGUUCGGAAUUACUGGGCGUAAAGGGCUCGUAGGCGGCCAACUAAGUCAGACGUGAAAUCCCUCGGCUUAACCGGGGAACUGCGUCUGAUACUGGAUGGCUUGAGAUUGGGAGAGGGAUGCGGAAUUCCAGGUGUAGCGGUGAAAUGCGUAGAUAUCUGGAGGAACACCGGUGGCGAAGGCGGCAUCCUGGACCAACACUGACGCUGAGUGAGCGAAAGCCAGGGAAGCAAACGGG